This 811-nucleotide long non-coding RNA is filed under the name Amphimedon queenslandica. Its description in RNAcentral is "uncharacterized LOC109591099". The record is from RNAcentral. Lineage: Eukaryota; Metazoa; Porifera; Demospongiae; Haplosclerida; Niphatidae.
UAAAUAGCCUCAAAAAUGGCGUCCACUUCUUCAUUUAUCUGAAGGAUCCUCAUUCUAAAGAAAGGAAGAAGUUAGAAACAGACACAGUUGGAAACCUGCAAGUCCAGUCCUUCAUGAGUAGAGUUUCUGAUGAACUGAACCUACCAGAAGAACAACUGACUUUAAUGUAUGGUAGUCGUGUUUUAAAAUCUGGAAAGACGUUGGGCCAGUAUAAAAUUGAAGAAGGAAUGAUGAUAUUCUAUAUGAUAAAGAAACCAAAGUCUGAAUUGUGGAGAGCAUGGUGUGAAAAGGGAGGAGUCUCAGCUAAAGAGAUUAGCACAGAACCCACGAGUACAUCAAAUAUUUCAGUGUAUAUUGGCAAACCCACUUUUGCUCUCUUCGAUUGUUCAAGGAACAGAAUUGGAGAAUAAUCCAGUUGUACAAAACUUUGCCAGUAAUCCUAUGAUACAAGCAGCUGCUUCUGAUCCACAAGAAUUAACAAGGAUAUUGGAAAGCGAUGAAUCCCAAGCUGAAGGUGCUCGUCAACUAUUGGAGCAAAUCGGUGCACUCGUUGCCGUGGAGAGAGGGUGUAACCGCGACGACGUUGAAGACGAUCAAAUUGUGGACAUGUUGGAACAAGCAGUUGAUGAUAACGAAAUGGAUUUCAUGGACAUGGGAGGAGAAGAAGAAGAACUGGCCGACGCACAAGAGCAAAUGUAUCAUUAUUCUCAAGCUAUUUUAGCUCAUCAGAACAGUAACCAACCACAAGGUCAGAAUAUGGAGACAAAUUCAGAGGCUACACCUAAUCCUCCUCCACCUCCUUAUCCUGGAC